GUAGUUUAUUACUCCAUGCCUCAUGCAGAGAGCAGUGCUGCGAAUUGAUCUGCCAGGCUCUUCACAGUCGUCGGAGAAACUGCAGAUUCUCCACCCAGGUACCACUUCUGAAUCAUCUCGGCCACAUUCUUGUUCUCCACUGUCAGCUUCGCCUCGCCCUUGCCUUCUGUCACAAAUGAUAUCUGCACACAUAUAUGCAUGCUUCAAUUAGGUUUGCAAGAACAAAGAUUUGAUCACUUGAUAUCUUAACCAAACCCAGCUGAAUAUAAGGAGUACUCUACAAGAUUAUACCUCUGCAAUUCCAGGGGUGUUAGGAAAGUGGAAGGUGAGGACGGAGUUGGGCUUGAAAUACUUGGACUGAAAGAAUUCAGUCACCUUCUCCAGAGACUCUUCCUCCUCAUCCUCGUACUUGUCCACUGACACGAGACGGUCGCGCACUGAGCUCUCCAGCUGCACGCCGUACUGUGAUCCUUUGAUCUCCUUGAUCACCACGAUCCUGAAUAGUUUCUCCACAGGAGCUAGCGUACAUGCACAGCAUCAAUCAGCAUGACUCAAAUGAAAAAAUGAAACAUUUUUUUCUUGCAGUUAUGCAGGAGCGGCAGACUGAACCUUACUCUGUUUUAUUUUGUAGGAUAGAACAUUGUUCUAUAAACUCUACAGAGAUAAUACUACUAUUUGUGAUCUGUAACUGGAAAUGGGAGAAUGGUAUUGAUAUACUAUAGACAAGCAAUUCCAAAUCCGUUUUACAUAUUUCUGAAAUGCAAAACCUGAAUGGUGGAGUCAUUUUAGUUACCAGAAACUAGGGCCUGAAAGAAGCCAUCAUCCUGCACAAGCUCCUCUGCCUUCUUGCCCUUCCAACUCUCCAAAUGCCCUAGUACAUUGUCCUUUUCAAGAUACACCCCGAUGGCGUUGUAUUUGAUCUGAAGGAAAUGAAUCUCAAUGUCUGUAAUGCCUGCAAUUUGUUGUUUCAAAUGCAUUUAGAGGCUUGUGUUGUACUCAUAAUCUGGUAUUAGUCAAAUGGAGUACUUAUAAAUCAUUAAUAGAUUAAUUAAUUACCAUGGGCUAGCAGUGAUAACGGCUUACUGACGGUGAUCUCCUGAGGAAAUGGGAUGCCCUCCACCUCCACGGUGGCCAUCUCUGUGCCCACUGAACUUGCAUCAAUGAUGCAAACUUAAUUGAUUAGGAGUUUAAAUCUUGUAAUCACUAUUCACUAGUACAUUCAUAAUCAUAUUUUUUAUACAAUUUUUGUAUGUAAGCAUAUUUCAACAACUCUUACAUGCUUACAUCUACUUUGGUAAUUUCUCUAUCUCAAUGCACAAAGCUAGUGCAAAGUCUGAAUUCUGAAAUGUGUGUGCAGCUACUACCAGAGUUUCAGAUGGAAUUUGAUACAUUCAUUCAUGAGAAUGUGUAUCAAUUCAUGAUAUCACUCAAGAUGGACGAAAGACAGAGUAUAUAAUAGUAGUUUUCAACUAGCAAGGAAACAAUCAGAUUGAAGCAAGAAAGAGAGAU
Molecule: long non-coding RNA, 1509 nt
Filed under: Oryza sativa (Asian cultivated rice)
Lineage: Eukaryota; Viridiplantae; Streptophyta; Magnoliopsida; Poales; Poaceae
Description: long non-coding RNA (OSAT_LNC000077)
Source: RNAcentral